Molecule: long non-coding RNA, 233 nt
Organism: Cornus florida
Lineage: Eukaryota; Viridiplantae; Streptophyta; Magnoliopsida; Cornales; Cornaceae
Exons: 3
Source: RefSeq, a predicted model, not a curated record
AAAUCCCUCUACAAUACUGUGAGAGAACUUGUUGAAAAUGCUCUUGAUUCAGUAGAAUCCAUAUCUGAGCUUCCUGUAGUAGAAGUAACAAUGUGCAAUCACUGGAGCUAUAACAACUCCUCUUGAUGUCAUAAAAACUAGAUUAAUGGUUCAGGGGUCAGCAAACCAGUACAAAGGUAUAUUUGAUUGUGUUAGGACUAUCAUUAGAGAAGAAGGGACUCCUGCUCUUUUAA